RNAcentral lists this ribosomal RNA (963 nucleotides) under Triticum aestivum (bread wheat). RNAcentral's name for it is "partial small subunit ribosomal RNA". Lineage: Eukaryota; Viridiplantae; Streptophyta; Magnoliopsida; Poales; Poaceae. The record is from RNAcentral.
AUGCCUUGGGAACCCCCAAGCUUUGCCUUUUGGGUCUUCUUAGAAUUAAAGUGGUGCGGAGCCUCGCAUGGAUGGCUCGUUGCGUCAGAUGAACUCUCCAACCUUGUGCUCUACCACCCCUUCAACUUCGCCACGAUCCCUCUCCCGCCUAUUACCGAUUUAGAGUGCGUCAAGGGAGUCUACGACAGUGAUGGAAGCAUCGUGGGCUAUCGUUAUGGAAAACGCCAUGAAUAUGAGCCUAAUCAGCCCGGGGCACAAGGCCUCGGCACAUGGUUCUACCAGAAGGUGGUCUUGUCAUGCAAUCCAUCUCGCGGUGGUGACUACACUGCCGUGGCCAUCCACUACUACGAUGGUAACUGGAUUUCCUUCACAAGAGCAAGAGAGAGCCGUUGGCGACUCGCCGCAGCUCCGGCCGACCGGAGCGAUGACCGGUACGCCGAUUGCGUCUACCACGACGGGAGAUUCUACACGGUGACAUUGCAUGGGGUGCUCGAGGCAUGGGACCUCUGCGGUCCACAAGAACCAAGCAAAGAGGUGAUCAUCAACGGGGACAGGAGAUACAGGGGGAUUCAUACCAGGUUUCUGGUGUCCACGCCCUGCGGCGGCCUCUUGCAGAUACGGACUCUUGAACGCAUUCGUCGUCCCGGAAAAAUCGAGGUGGAGGUGCUUCAAGUCGACGUCCAAGAAUGCAAACUGGUCAGCUUGUCUUCUUCAACGGCCUUGCGGGAUCACGCGGUGUUUGUCGGGCUGAAUCAUUCGGCUUGUCUGCCUGUCAGGGAGUUUCCGGAGCUCAGGCCCAACUGUGUCUACUUCACCACACCUCGGCUGAUACACCAUGACAAUUUCGGUCUUCCGGGCUGGAGAGGUGUGGGGAUUUACGACUUGGAAAAUCAUACGUUUGACUUUGGACCGGACUAUGGUGGAUUGUGGCCCUCUGAACUUUGGUACGUUCCGAAUCGUUGA